AGUUUGGAGCCGUCGUUGUUACUCAGCUUGGCUGGAGAAAGAGCCCUCUCUUCACCUGCACCGGGACAGACAAACAGCCAUUAGACAGGUUUUACGGUGAUGAAUAUCACGCACCGUAGUGAGCAGAGUUGAUGGCAAGCUCAAUGAUGGAGUCACUGAUGUGUGUUUGAGGUUCUCCGGGGGCUAGAGCCUCUUCAGGCGGCCCAGGCAAAGAGAUGUCCAGGAGUGACGCUACGCUGGGUGGAGGGAGGAGCGAGUCCCCACCACUAAUCGCUAUAGGAGACGGUGGAGGCAAACCAUUCUGAGGAAAGAACAAGUGGCACGCAUUAUGGGAUGGCUAUAUUUAUUCCUAGAAUUGUCAUAAAUGGUGGCAGUGUAGUCAUAAAUGAUUCACAUUUACUAGAUGGAAUGAUUACAUCUUAAAAUAUCAGAUCAGAUGUCCAUUGGAGAAAAAAAAUUGUUAUCUGACAAAAUGAAAAUGAAUAUUACAGUUAAUAGCAAGAGGCCUUGUUUAAUUACUUGGUUAUUAGUUACAACAUGAGUCAUUUUGUCACUGAUUUUUCCACCACUAAUAGAGCAUCUGUUCCUGACCUCUGGGACGUUUUGCUGGAGGAGCUGUGGGUCUGGUUCGGCAUCAUCAGUGGGUGUGGGUGUGGGUGUGAGCAGAGUGUCGUUAUCCACAGAGGGAGAGUCAACACUCCGACAGGGACUACCAGGAAUGAUGCCUGCAGACUUAGCUGCCAGAUCAAUGGCACCUGAAAGAGCAGAAACGGUUUAGACACACCAAGGAUUUCCCCACAUUGGCUCAUACAUGUAAAACAGGGAAACGGUACAUACUGGAGAGCUGACUGGUGGUUGCAGAACUUGGUGCUGCAGCUGGAACCUUGGAAACGAUGGAGCGGGGCGAAGGAGCAGGGCGAGUAUGGAUGGGCCGGAAAGAUCCAGUUCCUGAGGGACGAAAAAUCAAUUACUACCUGCAGAGGAGUUGGAGAGGAUGGAAAAGGAGCAGACGUGCGGAGAAGUGUCUCCUGUAGUUCGGGGCAGCAGUGUUCGCUACACAGGCAAGAUGUAAUAAAAUGUUUAGUCUAUCAAAACAAGGCAAGGAGUAAUAAAUUAUGUUUACUUCAAUACCAAUAUAAAAAAACUCUUCACUUACUUGAACUACAAGAGGUUUACGGAGUUGUCUGCUCCGAGGUUUUCUCUGUCGGGAAAGGAAAAGAUCUGACUGCAUCUAUAAGAGGGUAAUAAAAUAAAUUAAU
Solea solea (common sole) is the source of this 1259-nucleotide long non-coding RNA. RefSeq lists it as uncharacterized. NCBI's taxonomy places the organism in Eukaryota, Metazoa, Chordata, Actinopteri, Pleuronectiformes, Soleidae. The transcript is spliced from 4 exons. The record is from RefSeq and is a predicted model, not a curated record.